This 440-nucleotide ribosomal RNA is filed under the name uncultured bacterium. RNAcentral's name for it is "bacterial SSU rRNA". It matches the Rfam family "Bacterial small subunit ribosomal RNA", at positions 338 to 770 of the family's 1533-position model. The record is from RNAcentral.
CCUACGGGUGGCAGCAGUCGAGAAUUUUUCUCAAUGGGGGAAACCCUGAAGGAGCGACGCCGCGUGGAGGAUGAAGGUCUUCGGAUUGUAAACUCCUGUCAUUGGUGAACAAGGCCCUCGGAGUCACUGCCGUUGGGUUUGAUAGUAGCCGAAGAGGAAGGGACGGCUAACUCUGUGCCAGCAGCCGCGGUAAUACAGAGGUCCCAAGCGUUGUUCGGAUUCAUUGGGCGUAAAGGGUGCGUAGGCGGCGAGGCAAGUCUGGUGUGAAAUCCCGGGGCUCAACCCCGGAACUGCACUGGAUACUGCUUUGCUAGAGCACUGGAGAGGGAACUGGAAUUUACGGUGUAGCAGUGAAAUGCGUAGAUAUCGUAAGGAAGACCAGCGGCGAAGGCGAGUUCCUGGACAGUUGCUGACGCUGAGGCACGAAGGCCAGGGGAGCA